Molecule: non-coding RNA, 21 nt
Filed under: Arabidopsis thaliana (thale cress)
Lineage: Eukaryota; Viridiplantae; Streptophyta; Magnoliopsida; Brassicales; Brassicaceae
Source: RNAcentral
AGUUCAAGCCCAAAGGCCCUA